GAAUGCGCGCGUCGUCCGCGCCGCCAUCGCGGAUCCGCCUUCUUCGCCAAAUACGCCCGCGCGAUCCGACGCGGAACUCCGCGCGGAGCAAGCGCUCCUCGCGGGCGACGACAGCGACGGCACGAUCGCCGGGUUCACGAAGCUCGAGUGGAGUUGCAUUCAGACCCCGGCGAGGUACCUCGGGAACGAGAUCGGCGCGGUGCACAAGCCGUGGACGGAGGCGGAGGUUCGGUUCGCGAUGGCGUAUCCGGAGAUCUACGAAGUCGGCGCGUCGAAUCUCGGGCACGUCGUGCUGUACACGAUCUUGAACGACCAGCCCGGGAUGCUGUGCGACCGCUCGUACCUCCCCGGUCCGGACAUGGAGGCGCUGCUGAAGGCGAAGAACCGGACGCUGUUCGCGGUCGAGAGCAAGCGGCCGUUGACGCACUUCGACGCGCUCGGCAUGUCCCUCGCGUACGAGCUGUCGUCGGUGAAUCUGCUUCAGGCGCGUUCUAUACACUGGUCCCCAUACGACCCCGUUCGCGUGGUGAACGCCGUUCCUUAAGCACUUUGCCCGGCGUUUCUCUCCGCCCAUCCCUCGCUUUCAAUCCCCGCCCGCGGUGCCUUUCAACGCCAACUGACGCCUUUCAACUCCACCCCGACGUUCGCUUGUAUGGAACGACCCUCAGAUGAUGUCUCUGUCCGGGGUGCCGCUGACGUGGCGGGAACGGGACGAUAAGCCGGACGAGCCGUGGGACGUGGAUGACGGCUCGUGGCCGUUCGUUUUCAUCGGCGGACCGACGGCGACGAGCAACCCGGAGCCCGUCGCGGA
This 811-nucleotide long non-coding RNA is filed under the name Micromonas pusilla. RNAcentral describes it as "long non-coding RNA (MPUS_LNC000002)". Lineage: Eukaryota; Viridiplantae; Chlorophyta; Mamiellophyceae; Mamiellales; Mamiellaceae. The record is from RNAcentral.